RNAcentral lists this ribosomal RNA (253 nucleotides) under uncultured bacterium. RNAcentral's name for it is "partial 16S ribosomal RNA". It matches the Rfam family "Bacterial small subunit ribosomal RNA", at positions 524 to 776 of the family's 1533-position model. The record is from RNAcentral.
UACGGAGGGUGCGAGCGUUGUCCGGAAUCACUGGGCGUAAAGGGUGCGUAGGCCGCACGGUAAGUCAGAGGUGAAAUCCCGGAGCUCAACUUCGGAAUUGCCUCCGAUACUGCCGUGCUUGAGGACUGGAGAGGAGAUUGGAAUUCACAGUGGAGCAGUGAAAUGCGUAGAUAUUGUGAGGAACACUAGUGGCGAAGGCGAAUCUCUGGACAGUUCCUGACGCUGAGGCACGAAGGCCAGGGGAGCAAACGGG